GCUGGGUGUGGUGGCGCAUGCCUGUAAUCCUAGCUACUCAGGAGGCUGAGGCAAGAGAAUUGCUUGAGCCCAGGAGGCAGAGGUUGCAGUGAGGCAAGAUUGCACCACUGCACUCCAGCCUGGGCAACAGAGUGAGACUCCGUCUCAA
Molecule: non-coding RNA, 148 nt
Filed under: Gorilla gorilla gorilla (western lowland gorilla)
Lineage: Eukaryota; Metazoa; Chordata; Mammalia; Primates; Hominidae
Source: Rfam by way of RNAcentral